This 284-nucleotide unclassified non-coding RNA is filed under the name plant metagenome. RNAcentral describes it as "partial contains small subunit ribosomal RNA, internal transcribed spacer 1, and 5.8S ribosomal RNA". The stretch from base 1 to 53 matches the Rfam family "Eukaryotic small subunit ribosomal RNA", at positions 1779 to 1831 of the family's 1831-position model. The record is from RNAcentral.
GGAGUAAAAGUCGUAACAAGGUUUCCGUAGGUGAACCUGCGGAAGGAUCAUUAUUGUAUAACCGAGGUGCGAGGGCUGUCGCUGACCCGAAAGGUCGUGCACGCCCGAGUGCCCUCACACACAUCCAUCUCACCCCUAUGUGCACCACCGCGUGGGUCCCCCUUUGGCUUGUUCGGAGGGGGGCUUACGUUUUCACACAAACUUUGUAUGCAGUAUAGAAUGUAUUUUUUGUUUUUGCGAUCACGCAAUCAAUACAACUUUCAACAACGGAUCUCUUGGCUCUC